RNAcentral lists this ribosomal RNA (439 nucleotides) under uncultured Glomeromycotina. Its description in RNAcentral is "SSU rRNA". It matches the Rfam family "Eukaryotic small subunit ribosomal RNA", at positions 569 to 1015 of the family's 1831-position model. The record is from RNAcentral. Lineage: Eukaryota; Fungi; Glomeromycota.
AGCAGCCGCGGUAAUUCCAGCUCCAAUAGCGUAUAUUAAAGUUGUUGCAGUUAAAAAGCUCGUAGUUGAAUUUCGGGAUCAGUAUGUUGGUCGUGCUUCGGUACGUACUGUCAUUACUGGUUUCUACCUUCUGAAGAACCUUGAUGUCAUUAAUUUGGUGUCUUGGGGAAUCAGGACUGUUACUUUGAAAAAUUAGAGUGUUUAAAGCAAGCAUACGCUUGAAUACAUUAGCAUGGAAUAAUGAAAUAGGACGUUUGAUUCUAUUUUGUUGGUUUCUAGGAUCGACGUAAUGAUUAAUAGGGAUAGUUGGGGGCAUUAGUAUUCAAUUGUCAGAGGUGAGAUUCUUGGAUUUAUUGAAGACUAACUACUGCGAAAGCAUUUGCCAAGGAUGUUUUCAUUAAUCAAGAACGAAAGUUAGGGAUCGAAGACGAUCAGAUAC